This 467-nucleotide ribosomal RNA is filed under the name uncultured bacterium. RNAcentral's name for it is "partial 16S ribosomal RNA". It matches the Rfam family "Bacterial small subunit ribosomal RNA", at positions 28 to 506 of the family's 1533-position model. The record is from RNAcentral.
GACGAACGCUGGCGGCGUGCUUAACACAUGCAAGUCGAACGGAAAGGCCCUGCUUUUGUGGGGUGCUCGAGUGGCGAACGGGUGAGUAACACGUGAGUAACCUGCCCUUGACUUUGGGAUAACUUCAGGAAACUGGGGCUAAUACCGGAUAGGAGCUCCUGCUGCAUGGUGGGGGUUGGAAAGUUUCGGCGGUUGGGGAUGGACUCGCGGCUUAUCAGCUUGUUGGUGGGGUAGUGGCUUACCAAGGCUUUGACGGGUAGCCGGCCUGAGAGGGUGACCGGCCACAUUGGGACUGAGAUACGGCCCAGACUCCUACGGGAGGCAGAAGUGGGGAAUAUUGCACAAUGGGCGGAAGCCUGAUGCAGCAACGCCGCGUGCGGGAUGACGGCCUUCGGGUUGUAAACCGCUUUCGCCUGUGACGAAGCGUGAGUGACGGGAAUGGGUAAAGAAGCACCGGCGAACUACGU